GACGAACGCUGGCGGCGUGCUUAACACAUGCAAGUCGAACGGAAAGGCCCUGCUUUUGUGGGGUGCUCGAGUGGCGAACGGGUGAGUAACACGUGAGUAACCUGCCCUUGACUUUGGGAUAACUUCAGGAAACUGGGGCUAAUACCGGAGAGGAGCUCCUGCUGCAUGGGGGGGGAUGGAAAGUUUCGGCGGUUGGGGAUGGACUCGCGGCUUAUCAGCUUGUUGGUGGGGUAGUGGCUUACAAAGGGUUUGAAGGGUAGCCGGCCUGAGAGGGUGACCGGCCACAUGGGGACUGAGAUACGGCCCAGACUCCUACGGGAGGCAGCAGUGGGGAAUAUUGCACAAUGGGCGGAAGCCUGAUGCAGCAACGCCGCGUGCGGGAUGACGGCCUUCGGGUUGUAAACCGCUUUCGCCUGUGACGAAGCGUGAGUGACGGUAAUGGGUAAAGAAGCACCGGCUAACUACGUG
This 468-nucleotide ribosomal RNA is filed under the name uncultured bacterium. Its description in RNAcentral is "partial 16S ribosomal RNA". It matches the Rfam family "Bacterial small subunit ribosomal RNA", at positions 28 to 507 of the family's 1533-position model. The record is from RNAcentral.